CAGCCACAUCAUGUUCAAUCACCGGUUCCUGUACGAUUACUGAAAUUAAGCAAUAUAAUGUCUGGUCAGUACCUAGAUGGAUGACCGCUUGGGAAUACCAGGUGCUGGAU
Molecule: non-coding RNA, 110 nt
Organism: Acanthosepion pharaonis
Lineage: Eukaryota; Metazoa; Mollusca; Cephalopoda; Sepiida; Sepiidae
Source: the annotation of a GenBank genome assembly